CCUUCGAUAGCUCAGUUGGAAGAGCGUGAGACUGUAAUCGGGUAUUCCGUCACAAAAAGUGGCAUCUCAAGGUCGCUGGUUCGAUCCCGGCUCGAAGGA
Non-coding RNA from Cubamyces lactineus, 99 nucleotides. Lineage: Eukaryota; Fungi; Basidiomycota; Agaricomycetes; Polyporales; Polyporaceae. The record is from the annotation of a GenBank genome assembly.